CCUACGGGAGGCAGCAGUAGGGAAUUUUCCACAAUGGGGGCAACCCUGAUGGAGCAACACCGCGUGCAGGAUGAAGGUUUUCGGAUCGUAAACUGCUUUUAUUUGUGACGAUUAUGACAGUAGCAAAUGAAUAAGGGUCGGCUAACUACGUGCCAGCAGCCGCGGUCAUACGUAGGACCCAAGCGUUAUCCGGAAUUACUGGGCGUAAAGAGUUGCGUAGGUGGUUUGUUAAGCGGGCAGUGAAAUCGUGUGGCUCAACCAUACACACAUUGUCUGAACUGGCAAACUUGAGUGUUAUAGAGGUUACUAGAAUUCCAAGUGUAGGAGUGAAAUCCGUAGAUAUUUGGAGGAAUACCGAUGGCGUAGGCAGGUAACUGGAUGACAACUGACACUAAGGCACGAAAGCGUGGGGAGCAAACGGGAUUAGAUACCCUGGUAGUC
Molecule: ribosomal RNA, 441 nt
Filed under: uncultured bacterium
Lineage: Bacteria
Description: bacterial SSU rRNA
Rfam family: Bacterial small subunit ribosomal RNA
Source: RNAcentral